Long non-coding RNA from Balaenoptera musculus (blue whale), 5464 nucleotides. RefSeq lists it as uncharacterized. Lineage: Eukaryota; Metazoa; Chordata; Mammalia; Artiodactyla; Balaenopteridae. The record is from RefSeq and is a predicted model, not a curated record. The transcript is spliced from 8 exons.
UGGUAUUGAAAACAAACAGAAAUUUCAUUUGAGAAUAAUUACAAAGCAAUGUCUCCUUCUUUGCUUUGUUUCCUAAAGGUCAGUGUGACCCUGAGACUGAACCAAAUAUAGUCCAGUCCCUAUCCAAGAGGAACGCUCAUCAGAUUUUAUAGAAUUACUUGAAAUGCAACUCAUCACUCUGCGCUGAAUACAGCAACAUUUUGAUAAAACGAAACUAUCAGAAUAAAAGAGAGUUUGGAAUUAGUGAACUUCAAAGAGAACAUAUUACUUUCAAAAUUUGAUCAUUUUGAAAUUAAUGCAACCUAAUGCAAGCAUUAUUGUCUUAAAAUGAUUACUGAGAUAUUUCGUACAUUUAAUGAAGAAAAUUGAGAAAUUUCAUAAAUAAUAAAGCUAGUGUGCUGUGAUUUUGAAGGCACAAAGUUAGAGCGAAUGAUUUGAGUUGCAGCGUUUUAUUAUGUAAAAUUAGUGUCAAUAUCAUUGAUUUGAGUUAUAGCGUUUUAUUAUGUAAAAUAGGAGUCAAUAUCAUUGAUUUGAGUUAUAGGGGUUUACUGUGUAAAACAGGUGUCAAUAUCAUUAUUACUUCACUUUCCAGGAUACUUUAUAAGCUCUUAAUAUAAUUUAGUUUAGUGGAGUGCACAGCAAAACAAGUAGUAUUCUCUGGUACUACAUAACUAAUCUUUGCAACAGCUGUGCAUUUACCACUCUCAGCUGCUCCAGUUACAUUAAUCAUCCUUUUAACAGCCUGACACCUGUCUCUUAUUAUAUUUGAGAACAGUUGUUAAUUUCUUUAAAUUUUCCCAUCCCUCUUAGUGCCUUUGCACUGCUUUAUUUCUCUAAUGCACAUUUAUACGGUCUAUUAUAUUAAUUCUCUCAUUUAAUCUUGAGAACUUAAAAAUUAUUAGGAAGUUAAUUGUUCAGGGAUCAGAGGUUUUUCUCACUUACAGCAUAACUCUGUUAAAUGACACAGUUUGUUCCAGCUUCUUGCUGACACUGCAAGGGAUUGUCUAGAACAAAGAGUUCAAUUACUUUCACAGUGCUAAUCAUAUAUCAUUAUGUAGAGGCAUGGAUCCUUAAUUCCCAAGCCAGCGCCCGAAGCAGCGUGGCAGCAAUAAAGGACACAUUCCAAAUUCCUCUGUCCACUGCAGCAGGCAGGUAAUAACUGAAGAAUAAAAUAAGUGCGUCUCGUUGGCUAUGCUCUUUACUAAUUUGAAUGUUUGAUGCCUACAAUGAAUCAUGUUCCAUUAAUUUUUAUUCACCCACACAAGAUUUUUGUCAGAAUUGAUUUGAGAUGCAUCGUUCCAGGCCAAAUAUAUAUUUACACUUUAUUUUUUUGAGAACUUUUCCUCCAUGAUUUAGGAAACACUUUCUGGUCCUUUGUAACUUUUCAAGGUACAAAUAAAAGUCAGGAAAUAACACUGACUUUUGAGUCUCACAGGUAAAGAAUUCCUCAGCGUUAACAAAGCCUGAGCGCUCCUUCUCCCCACACACUUUUAGACACAGAGGUUAAUGUGUAAUCCAGACCAUUCUCUUGUUCAGCUAUCCCAAGGUCAACAAAGAAACUGAAUCAGAGAGAAGAAUAUUUUGUUUGUUUCAUAGGCAGGGAAAUGGCUUAUGAAAUCUCAGAGCAGGGUGUAACCUCAUUAAGAUAAAUGUAAAAAUAACUCACCAAUCAUAAGUUAUGGAAACAGGAAAUCAACGCCUGUGUUUUACAACAAAGGCACUCUUACAUUUCCGGCAUAAAAAAAGCUUCUGUUACCAUUUUCUUUCCUCUCCUCCCCCCUCUCCUGCUAUCCUCUCUGUUUGGGCAGGAAACUUGGCUGACUCUGCUCAAGUUGUCUGCUGCCCUUUUGUUCUAUCAUCUGCCCAGCCGUGGUGGGAGAAGCCUGAUAAAUUUCCCCCGUCCCCCCGUGAGUAGGAUGAGUAACUUCCAAAUCUGGGAGAGUUACAGUCAAAUUGCCUUUUGGAAGAGAAACAUGGAUAGUGAGCGCAGUCCUUACUGUUAAACGCUUUUUUCUUGCUAAAGCUGCUCAGGAUCUUAUCACCUAUUUUUUUACCUGAUGUUUUGCAGGCUGCACGUAACUAAGAGCAUUAGAGAUGUUCUACGGUUGCAAGCACAUCAUUUUAUUUACAGAAAAUAACUCCAAAAGGAGUUUUGUAUUGUAAUCACUUCAACCAAGUAGCGAGAUUGGCAAGUUAUUUAUGGGAUGCCUGGGGCAGCUCUUCUUCAGGCUGUGGCGACCAGGAUGGUUUCCUAUUAUGUAUCUCUCAUCCUUCUGAUAUGACCACAGCACCACUUGAGCAUCAAGUCUUUGAUUUUGCUACUAGCAAAAUGGUCUGGAUGAUCAUACCUAAAACUGUGUAGCUAAAGCCGAGAUACUGCUGGCAAGGCAAACUAUGGUCAUCCAGGGAUUUUUGCCUUAUUUCAGUCAUUAAGGUCAUACCACAAGAACUUGGUCCCAAAUGUGUACAGAAGGAUAUGUGCUCAAUAUCAGAGAAAUAGAGAACUAGUGUAACUUCUGGAUCUUUGCACAUUUGGUACGCCGAUGUAAGUCUGAGAUGUGCUAACAGACAAUGGUUACUCCAUCAGCCUGGAUUCCAGAGAAAGACAUGGAGCAAAACCUCUGGACAACAUGUACAGGACAUGCAGUGUGUUGAAGUUCAAAGACAAAUAAGACACAGUUGCAGUUCUUGAGAUAUUUGUCAUCUGAUGGAUGAAAGAAACACAAACAAAUGUUUUGAAGUGAAAUAAAAGAGAAUGUAAAGUCAGACCAUUGCCAGACACAAAGGAAUACCUGUGACAGUGCCAACUUGUAAUGCAGCCACUAACACAAAGGGAGAGGUGGGCAUAAGGCAGGGAGUAAAUGGAGGGGUGAAUAGUAAGAACUAAUUAAAUGCUUGUUUACUGGAUCUUGAAAUUAUUGGAGAUUUUUGUCAAAUGUUUAAUUUUCGUAUGUAAUCUAGACUAUUAGUACAAUUUUGCAUAUUACAUUUAGAGAAUAACAUGUUUGUAUAAUAACAUUAAAAUUUUUUCUAAUUUUUCUGUAUAUUAUAUGCACUAAAACCUUGUAAAAUAUAUUAACUCCUCUUCCAAAAAUCAAUAAUCUAUCAUCUUGAAGAAGGCACUUAUUUGCUCAAAGUUACAUGUAGAUAAAAUUCUAUGACCUUUCUUUCCUUGUAGGUGAUAUUUUGAUGAGAGAAGGUACCUAGCAAGAGACCUCCUGUUUAUAGGAAGGAAACUACAGCUUUUAGAUUUCUAAUGCUAGUGGAGGAGAAUUUGACUGAGCUAAACAUGUUGAAAAUUCAGCCUUGACAGCUGGAAAAGAUAAAUGAAAUCCAGUUUUUCUGCCUGAGUCAUUAUUUAAGUUCCUGCUUGGGAUUAGGAUAGGACUUGAAGGCAUCACCUUCUAUAGAUCAUCUGCCUUGCUCCUAGAUGCUUCCAUUUAUACUGGGUAAAUUUGCCCCAGCAGAGAUGAUUUAUAGGGGAUGAUAUUCCUUGUAUACCGUAAAUGUCACUAAAUUAUACCAGGAAGUUAAAAAAGCAAUUAAUUUAGAAAAACAUUAAGUAUAUGAAUAAUUUUAAAAAUCCUAGAAGUUAAUAAUAGUUCAGUUCCAUCUGGAAUGUUACAAAAUCGAAAGCCCUAGGUAUAACUUCUUGAGCAACUGCUCAGAAAUCUGACUUUUAAAAAUUGCCAAAGAGCAAAGAACUGGAAUGGGAAUCAUAUGAUGAUGCAUAUGACAAAAGAAUGAGAAGUUAUGUAAGUUUAUUCCUCUGGAUUGAUAGACUGUCUUAGAGGUUGGAGUCUUGGUUUCCUAUGUAAAGGUAUACAACUCAUUUUUGAUGCCAAAAUACUAAGUGAAUAACUCAAUUAUAAUCUAUCAUCGAAUUAAACAUGAAAAUAGACUUUUUAUUUCAACUUAAUAAAAAUAUUUUAUAUUAAUUGAACACAUACCUACUAUGUGCAAGGCACUGAGUGAAAUAAACACGUAAGGAAUGCACAGGAUCUGCUCUCAAGGAAUUUUAAUCUAGUAGAAGAAAGAAAGCAGACACUCAGGAAAGGAUGGAGCACAUUCCAAAUAGUAAAUUACAGACUUUCAGUGAGUAAUAAAAUCAUGCUAAGGCACUCAGAAAGCAGAGUAUUUCCAGCUUUGUUAGUCAGGAGACUUUUAAUGGAGGUGAUGAAGGCAAUUAUAUUUGAACUGUCUCUUGAAGAAUGAGUAAGAUUUGAAUAGAUGUAAAUGAGUGGGAAACUUUUCCAUGGAAGAGUAUUAGUAAACGUGUAAAUAGGAAAAUACAAUUGAGCUGACUUGGUAGGCUACAGAGGACAAUUCAUGAAAGACAGUUAUGAGAAAAACUGUUAAGGGAGGUUGGGACCCUGUUUGUAAUGGGCAUUGAAACCUGUGCCAGGAAUGUAGACUCUAAUAACCAUUGAUAUCACGAGUCUUUCACAAUAAGCGAGGGAGUUGUAUGAUUGAAGCAGUGCUCUAAUAGUUCUAGAAAGAUUGCAGAGGAGAGCAGUGAAGCAAGAAGGCCAUAAAGAUGCUGUUAAGUGUCCAGGCACCACAUCUCAAGAUAAGGGGACUGGGGGCAAGGGAUUUUUAAUUAGAUCUAUUUGUAUAAAACGAAUAAAAUUUGAAGAGUGAUUAGAUAUUGUUGGUCUUAGGAAAAAUACAAAGAAAAGUAAUGACUCCAUGAAUGAAAAUACACAGGUCUGGAGAGAGAACUGGAAAGGGCAAUACAAAUGGAAAUUCCCACCAUAUUGUUUCUUAUAAGGAAAGAAAUUUUAGAGCUACAUCAUUGCCAAAGGAAAAUAUUUGUAGUCAUCAGUACAGCUAUGAAAGUUGAAGCCAAGAGGGUGGGCAGCCUUCUUAUGGACUCCAUACAAGAUGAGAAGAGUCACAUAGCAAAGGCUAUGAUUAGGGCAUGCCCACAGUUAAUCCCAUAAAGGAUCCAGUGUAGGACAAGGGAAUGAGUUUUCAAAAAAUUAUAAGGACUAAAAGAGAUAGAGUAUUACUGAAUCUAAAAAAGUCUUAACAAGAAAAGUUGGUAGUUAUCUAAGGUACAACAGAAAGAUGGACAAAGGACUGGCAGCCAGCCAUCCUAACGCACGGUUAUGAGGUACCUGUAGGAUUCUAAAGGUGCAGGUUUCAGAAAGUGAAGAAUAAGGAGGAGUACAUGCAUAAUUCAGGCCUGACAGGUUAUCAGUUUUGGGUUCUCUCCAUUCAAUCAUUCACAACAUAUUUGUGGAGCACCUCCAAUGAGCUUUAGGGGUUGGGGAUAGAGCAGUGGACAAAACAAAUUCUUUCUCUCAUGCUUCUUAUAUUCUAACAGGGAGACAAAUGUAUAUCAAGUGGUGAUGAGUUAAAGAAGAAAAAUAGGAAAGAAUGGGGAUAUCUAAGGGAUUCAUAGUCCCCAACUUAAAAGGGGAUGCUUUUUCUUUUUUAUAUUUAUUUUAUUUAUUAUCAU